GGUCUUCUCACCAGGAUGGAGGACCACACAGUGCAUUCCCCGCCCUGAGAUGUCCUUUCCUUAGGGCAUUUUCUGAUUUAUUUCUUUUUUGCAAGUUUGACUUUCUUUACCCACUUCUCUAAGAUCUUCCAUCAGCUGGGAAACCAUGCAUGAUAAAUGCUGCCUUUUCCAGGGAUCACAUGGACAUUCCAUUUACAAGAAUUCCCCAACUGAAGCUAGAAGAGUAGAAUUUUGACAUCCUGAUUGUAACACAUCUGUACGUGACAAGAACAAUCAAGAGACUCAAACCAGAGACCAUCUACCCUGGUUUUAGUUUGGGUUUGAAUGAUGAAAAAUGAGAACUUCCCCACCCCCACCCCCCAAAACCCAUGAAACUCAGUUUUGUUAAAACAUCUUUGUUCACAUGUGAAUAAAUCUAGGCAAGAAUGCAAAAGGGGCA
This 439-nucleotide long non-coding RNA is filed under the name Chinchilla lanigera (long-tailed chinchilla). RNAcentral describes it as "lncRNA (ENSCLAG00000024380.1)". Lineage: Eukaryota; Metazoa; Chordata; Mammalia; Rodentia; Chinchillidae. The record is from RNAcentral.